This 694-nucleotide ribosomal RNA is filed under the name Streptomyces sp. 0112ALTP17. RNAcentral describes it as "bacterial SSU rRNA". It matches the Rfam family "Bacterial small subunit ribosomal RNA", at positions 59 to 766 of the family's 1533-position model. The record is from RNAcentral. Lineage: Bacteria; Bacillati; Actinomycetota; Actinomycetes; Kitasatosporales; Streptomycetaceae.
AAGUCGUACGAUGGAAGGCCCAUUCGGGGUGGAUUAGUGGCGAACGGGUGAGUAACACUGUGGGCAAUCUGCCCUUCACUCUGGGACAAGCCCUGGAAACGGGGUCUAAUACCGGAUACCACUCCUGCCUGCAUGGGCGGGGGUUGAAAGCUCCGGCGGUGAAGGAUGAGCCCGCGGCCUAUCAGCUUGUUGGUGGGGUAAUGGCCCACCAAGGCGACGACGGGUAGCCGGCCUGAGAGGGCGACCGGCCACACUGGGACUGAGACACGGCCCAGACUCCUACGGGAGGCAGCAGUGGGGAAUAUUGCACAAUGGGCGAAAGCCUGAUGCAGCGACGCCGCGUGAGGGAUGACGGCCUUCGGGUUGUAAACCUCUUUCAGCAGGGAAGAAGCGAAAGUGACGGUACCUGCAGAAGAAGCGCCGGCUAACUACGUGCCAGCAGCCGCGGUAAUACGUAGGGCGCAAGCGUUGUCCGGAAUUAUUGGGCGUAAAGAGCUCGUAGGCGGCUUGUCACGUCGGAUGUGAAAGCCCGAGGCUUAACCUCGGGUCUGCAUUCGAUACGGGCUAGCUAGAGUGUGGUAGGGGAGAUCGGAAUUCCUGGUGUAGCGGUGAAAUGCGCAGAUAUCAGGAGGAACACCGGUGGCGAAGGCGGAUCUCUGGGCCAUUACUGACGCUGAGGAGCGAAAGCGUGGGG